CCUUGAGCGUGGUUCCGGAGCUAACGCGUUAAGUCGACCGCCUGGGGAGUACGGCCGCAAGGUUAAAACUCAAAUGAAUUGACGGGGGCCCGCACAAGCGUGGAGCAUGUGGUUUAAUUCGAUGCAACGCGAAGAACCUUACCUGGUCUUGACAUCCACGGAAUUUGGCAGAGAUGCCUUAGUGCCUUCGGGAACCGUGAGACAGGUGCUGCAUGGCUGUCGUCAGCUCGUGUUGUGAAAUGUUGGGUUAAGUCCCGCAACGAGCGCAACCCUUAUCCUUUGUUGCCAGCGGUCCGGCCGGGAACUCAAAGGAGACUGCCAGUGAUAAACUGGAGGAAGGUGGGGAUGACGUCAAGUCAUCAUGGCCCUUACGACCAGGGCUACACACGUGCUACAAUGGCAUAUACAAAGAGAAGCGACCUCGCGAGACCAAGCGGACCUCAUAAAGUAUGUCGUAGUCCGGAUUGGAGUCUGCAACUCGACUCCAUGAAGUCGGAAUCGCUAGUAAUCGUGGAUCAGAAUGCCACGGUGAAUACGUUCCCGGGCCUUGUACACACCGCCCGUCACACCAUGGGAGUGGGUUGCAAAAGAAGUAGGUAGCUUAACCUUCGGGAGGGCGCUUACCACUUUGUGAUUCAUGACUGGGGUGAAGUC
RNAcentral lists this ribosomal RNA (654 nucleotides) under Enterobacter sp. DJM1F11. Its description in RNAcentral is "bacterial SSU rRNA". It matches the Rfam family "Bacterial small subunit ribosomal RNA", at positions 832 to 1487 of the family's 1533-position model. The record is from RNAcentral. Lineage: Bacteria; Pseudomonadati; Pseudomonadota; Gammaproteobacteria; Enterobacterales; Enterobacteriaceae.